RNAcentral lists this non-coding RNA (27 nucleotides) under Macaca fascicularis (crab-eating macaque). The record is from RNAcentral. Lineage: Eukaryota; Metazoa; Chordata; Mammalia; Primates; Cercopithecidae. RNAcentral also lists the same sequence under 1 other name.
UGGAUCCUAUACAUGCCUUUGGGAACC